UCAAGAUCGGCUAGAGAUUUGGGAGUUACACAACAUGCAACAGACUGUUGGUAUUUCUUGAUCAAAUUCCAUUCCUUUUCCAUAUACUAGAGAUAUAGGGGGCUUACUCAACAUGCAACAAGGAUGGGACAAAUUGAUUUCACUUCUAUUAUUUUUGGCUAUGAUCGGGAUUUCCAUUCUUUAUGUAUUUACUAUUGCUGCUAUAUCGUUAGUUGGAGCUGAUGUGAUCCUAUAUGUCAUUGUGAUGGUCAGGAGAGACAUAUAUACCCUAUAUAACUACUUCCUCCUGCUACUAAGGAGUGUACUACUUCUGCUAUUGCGAUAUUUUGCAUAAAAUAAGAAAGAAAAU
This 349-nucleotide long non-coding RNA is filed under the name Hordeum vulgare. RNAcentral describes it as "long non-coding RNA (HVUL_LNC004484)". The record is from RNAcentral. Lineage: Eukaryota; Viridiplantae; Streptophyta; Magnoliopsida; Poales; Poaceae.